Long non-coding RNA from Bufo gargarizans (Asiatic toad), 656 nucleotides. RefSeq lists it as uncharacterized. The record is from RefSeq and is a predicted model, not a curated record. The transcript is spliced from 5 exons. Lineage: Eukaryota; Metazoa; Chordata; Amphibia; Anura; Bufonidae.
AGGCGGCGCAUGAGGAGAGAGCUGCGGCAGGCGCUGCGCCGUCUUAAUGUUAUACAUUCGAUUGAGUAGCAAGACGAGUGUCUGAAGCCAAGCCGAGGAUGAGUAAUGGAAGGUGGAGAACAUUUACAAUGGGAAGAGGUGGCAGCAUAUGGAGAGAAAUAUUCUGGGCACUGUGGUGAAUUAUAUAUGCACACGACCAGAAGAACAGACAAUGAAACUGUGUGAGGACGAGCGAUGGCAGUAGCAGCACUUCCCUCCACUGACGAGCAGGCAAUUAUCAGGAAGGAACGGCUCCCACUGGAUCACUGCCUGCUUAGUCGGUGCAUGAAAGACAACUCCACUGCAGGGAACGUAUGAGGACUACCAGACGUGGAUCUGUCGGUGCGGACGGCCAAUUCAGACCAAUCUCAUCAUCCGAGAGGCCGCGUUCUUCAUGCGGUACAACUGACUUGUGAUUUGCCAGACUGUCAGCUAACAUCAGGAGCUGCAAAAAAAAGACACAAAAAGCACAAAACUGAUGCCUCCAGAAACCUGUGUCGAUCCACUUGAGUUCCUCAAAAGAAGCCGCUUGCAUUUUCUCUAUAUCACAUGCUUUUUAUGGUGCCUGUGGGGCAGAUAUUCUGUGUGCCAAAGACCAACAAAAUGCCAACCAAUUA